RNAcentral lists this small RNA (125 nucleotides) under Marmota monax (woodchuck). Lineage: Eukaryota; Metazoa; Chordata; Mammalia; Rodentia; Sciuridae. The record is from RNAcentral.
GCUGGGCGUGGUGGCACAUGCCUGUAAUCCCAGAGGCUCAGGAAGCUGAGGCAGGAGGAUCUCGAGUUCAAAGCCAGUCUCAGAAAAAGGGAGGCACUAAGCAACUCAGAGAGACCCUGUAUCUA